Molecule: ribosomal RNA, 803 nt
Filed under: uncultured bacterium
Lineage: Bacteria
Description: bacterial SSU rRNA
Rfam family: Bacterial small subunit ribosomal RNA
Source: RNAcentral
AGAGUUUGAUCAUGGCUCAGAACGAACGCUGGCGGCGCGUCUUAAGCAUGCAAGUCGGACGGCAAGGGUUGUGCUUGCACAACUCCUAGAGUGGCGGACUGGUGAGUAACGCGUGGGUGACCUACCCUCGAGAUGGGGAUAGCCAUUAGAAAUAGUGGAUAAUACCGAAUACGCUCUGGAUGCUCUGGCGACCAGAGGAAAUCAGGCUACGGCCUGGCUCGAGGAUGGGCCCGCGUCCCAUUAGCUAGUUGGUGAGGUAACGGCCCACCAAGGCGACGAUGGGUAUCCGGCCUGAGAGGGUGUACGGACACAUUGGGACUGAGAUACGGCCCAAACUCCUACGGGAGGCAGCAGCUAAGAAUAUUCCGCAAUGGACGAAAGUCUGACGGAGCGACGCCGCGUGGAUGAAGAAGGCCGAAAGGUUGUAAAAUCCUUUUGCUGAUGAAGAAUAAGUGUGGUAGGGAAUGACCGCAUGAUGACAUUAGUCGGUGAAUAAGCCCCGGCUAACUACGUGCCAGCAGCCGCGGUAACACGUAGGGGGCAAGCGUUGUUCGGAAUUAUUGGGCGUAAAGGGCAUGUAGGCGGUUUUGUAAGCCUGGUGUGAAAUCCUGCAGCUUAACUGUAGAAUUGCAUUGGGUACUGCAAGACUUGAAUCACAGAGGGGAAACUAGAAUUCCAGGUGUAGGGGUGGAAUCUGUAGAUAUCUGGAAGAAUACCGGUGGCGAAGGCGGGUUUCUAGCUGAUGAUUGACGCUGAGGUGCGAAAGUGCGGGGAGCAAACAGGAUUAGAUACCCUAGUAGUCC